AAGUUGCGAAUAGUCCCUAAAUUUCAAUAUCUUCUACAAAUUAGCCGGAUUGACUUGAAGUGAAGUGGGUAGAUCGGAUCAACACAACAAAGCACACUAUCCAGAUCAAUUCCGGUAGCUUUUGUUUUAUGUUUGAAGAUUUAUAUGGCAUGUAUAGAGUUUAAAUGAAAUGAAGUAAAGAUGUUAUAAACUAGUUAACAACAUUUUGUACUAAAAUAGUUUUUGGUUAGUAGCAGUAGUCUGAGUUUGAAAA
Molecule: long non-coding RNA, 253 nt
Organism: Gossypium arboreum
Lineage: Eukaryota; Viridiplantae; Streptophyta; Magnoliopsida; Malvales; Malvaceae
Exons: 2
Source: RefSeq, a predicted model, not a curated record